GGCGGGCGGGUGAGUAACGCGUGAGGAACCUGCCUUUCAGAGGGGGACAACAGUUGGAAACGACUGCUAAUACCGCAUAACGCAUAGGAGUCGCAUGGCUCCAAUGCCAAAGAUUUAUCGCUGAAAGAUGGCCUCGCGUCCGAUUAGCUGGUUGGCGGGGUAACGGCCCACCAAGGCGACGAUCGGUAGGGGUUCUGAGAGGAAGGUCCCCCACAAUGGAACUGAGACACGGUCCAUACUCCUACGGGAGGCAGCAGUGAGGAAUAUUGGCCAAUGGGCGGAAGCCUGAACCAGCCAUGCCGCGUGCGGGAAGGAGGCCCUAUGGGCUGUGAACCGCUUUUGCGAGGGGGCAAUAAGGGCGUCGCGCACGUCCGAUGAGAGUACCUCGCGAAUAAGCAUCGGCUAACUCCGCGCCAGCAGCCGCGGUAAUACGGGGGAUGCGAGCGUUAUCCGGAUUCAUUGGGUUUAAAGGGUGCGUAGGCUGUGCGUCAAGUCAGGGGUGAAAUUCCCGCGCUCAACGCGGGGGCUGCCUUUGAUACUGUCGCGCUGGAGUGCGGAUGCCGCCGGAGGAAUGAGUGGUGUAGCGGUGAAAUGCUUAGAUAUCACUCAGAACACCGAUUGCGAAGGCAUCUGGCGAAUCCGUAACUGACGCUGAGGCACGAAAGCGUGGGGAUAGAACAGGGUUAGAUACCCUGGUAUUCCACGCCGUAAACGAUGAUGGCUAACCGCCGGCGACACACAGUCGGUGGCCAAGCGAAAGCGAUAAGCCAUCCACCUGGGGAGUACGUCGGCAACGAUGAAACUCAAAGGAAUUGACGGGGGCCCGCACAAGCGGAGGAACAUGUGGUUUAAUUCGAUGAUACGCGAGGAACCUUACCCGGGCUCGAACGGCAGGGGAAUCACCCAGAGAUGGGUGAGUCUUCGGACUCCUGUCGAGGUGCUGCAAGGUUGUCGUCAGCUCGUGCCGUGAGGUGUCGGCUCAAGUGCCAUAACGAGCGCAACCCUUGCCGCCAGUUGCCAUCAGGUGAAGCUGGGCACUCUGGCGGGACUGCCACCGCAAGGUGUGAGGAGGGGGGGAUGACGUCAAAUCAGCACGGCCCUUACGUCCGGGGCGACACACGUGUUACAAUGGCGGCCACAGAGGGAAGCUACCCCGCGAGGGGAUGCGGAUCUCGAAAAGCCGUCCCAGUUCGGACUGGAGUCUGCAACCCGACUCCACGAAGUUGGAUUCGCUAGUAAUCGCGCAUCAGCCAUGGCGCGGUGAAUACGUUCCCGGGCCUUGCACACACCGCCCGUCAAG
This 1300-nucleotide ribosomal RNA is filed under the name uncultured bacterium. Its description in RNAcentral is "bacterial SSU rRNA". It matches the Rfam family "Bacterial small subunit ribosomal RNA", at positions 97 to 1401 of the family's 1533-position model. The record is from RNAcentral.